Molecule: ribosomal RNA, 425 nt
Filed under: uncultured bacterium
Lineage: Bacteria
Description: bacterial SSU rRNA
Rfam family: Bacterial small subunit ribosomal RNA
Source: RNAcentral
GGGGAAUUGUUCGCAAUGGGCGCAAGCCUGACGACGCAACGCCGCGUGGAGGACGAAGAUCUUCGGGUCGUAAACUCCUUUCGAUCGGGAAGAACGCCUCUGGUGUGAAUAUCGCCAGAGGGUGACGGUACCGAGAGAAGAAGCCACGGCUAACUCUGUGCCAGCAGCCGCGGUAAUACAGAGGGGGCAAGCGUUGUUCGGAAUUACUGGGCGUAAAGGGCGCGUAGGCGGCCUUCUAAGUCGAACGUGAAAUCCCUGGGCUCAACCUAGGAACUGCGUCCGAUACUGGGAGGCUUGAAUCCGGGAGAGGGAUGCGGAAUUCCAGGUGUAGCGGUGAAAUGCGUAGAUAUCUGGAGGAACACCGGUGGCGAAGGCGGCAUCCUGGACCGGUAUUGACGCUGAGGCGCGAAAGCCAGGGGAGCAAA